RNAcentral lists this unclassified non-coding RNA (260 nucleotides) under Glomeraceae sp. RNAcentral's name for it is "partial contains 5.8S ribosomal RNA and internal transcribed spacer 2". The stretch from base 1 to 71 matches the Rfam family "5.8S ribosomal RNA", at positions 84 to 154 of the family's 154-position model. The record is from RNAcentral. Lineage: Eukaryota; Fungi; Glomeromycota; Glomeromycetes; Glomerales; Glomeraceae.
GUGAAUCAUCGAAUCUUUGAACGCAAAUUGCACUUUCUGGUAUUCCGGAAAGUAUGCCUGUUUGAGGGUCAGUUAAAUUAAAAUCGGUGUUUUUGCUACCCGUAGUGGUGUGGGAUGCAUCGGAAUUGAGUCGUUCUUUACCUUUGGUUUAAGUGGCUUAAAAUUAUGUUCGAUGUUUGAACGUAUGUAAAUGAUUACUUAUGUUCUUAAUAUCACAUGUUAUGUGCGGUUAUUCACAUGAUUUCGUGUAUAUACGUUGU